Brassica oleracea var. oleracea is the source of this 1269-nucleotide long non-coding RNA. RefSeq lists it as uncharacterized. The record is from RefSeq and is a predicted model, not a curated record. The transcript is spliced from 6 exons. Lineage: Eukaryota; Viridiplantae; Streptophyta; Magnoliopsida; Brassicales; Brassicaceae.
UUCUCUUCCAGAACUCAAUCUCUUCGCCUCCACUUUUCAGAGCUUCAUCUCUUCGCCUCCCAUUCGUAUCUCUUAAGCUUCCCUGUUUUAAUUAUGCCAUAAUUACUACUUCUGAUCUCUUAGAUUUUCGUCUUCGUCGCCGUCUUCAACCUCUUAACGAUCGGACCAACCACUUUCAGCGUUUUCCAAGUAUUCUAUUGACUACAGCUGAAACCGAUCUCCGCCAAAGUAAAAUUAGUGUCUCUCUUAAGCUAUGAAGAUUUGGGUCUUGAAGGAAUCAAACAAAGAGUUGAGUUUUUUUUUUUUUCAACUUUCGAUUCCUUAUUAUGUCAUCAUGAUUAGACUUAGCUAAGAUUUGUGCUUGAUCCGUAUUCCUACAAUGUUACCAUGACUGAAAACCUGGCGGCUGAGAAUGAAAGGAUGAAUGAUGUCGCAAAGAUCAAAGUUGUUAACAGAUGCCUAAGUAACUUUUAAAAAAAGUACUCAGCAAAAAACGAGGAAGACGUUGUUGACACAAAUUCCAAUUGCUUAACAGUUCAUGAAACCAAACUUAAGCUCAGUCUCUCAUGUUUUGGGUUGAGUUGACUAGCCUAUGUUGAAAAGCAUGAACCUGUGUUUGAUGCUGUGCUAAAUGAGGAAGUAUCAAAUGGUGAGGUGGCUGAUAUAUGAAAGACAUGAUCAACACUUAUCUGGAGUUUAUCGUGAGGCAGUGGAUCCCCUAAAUUUUCAGCGCAUUAAUGCCACUUGCUUGGCAUAUAGGCAGACAGGUAGUUGUAAAACCUAAACUAUGAAGGCUUUGCCUCUUUAAGUCUUCAAGGGAUUUCCUAAGUUCGGUGCACAAUGCAUACAAACCCAAUUGUUUGGUAUAAACCAUAUCGGUUCUUCUCCGGUAUGCGACUUAUCCUACAAAGCUGUGUUACCCGAAAUCCGAAAUGCGCAAGAGCGAUUUAACGUGUACCGCGUGGAUUAUAGUGGUCUUCUUCUGCUGGAAGUUCAGACACUAUGCCAACUGAGUAAAGAAAGAACUAAAGAAAGGUAUCAGAAGAGCAAGGAGUGCCAGAAAGUCAUUAUUUUGCUUCAGUUAAGAGUUCCAUACAAAUAAUAGUUUAGGAUCUUUUCUGGUUCCCUUUAUUCUCUAAAAACCCACUGCACAUGUACAUGUAGAAAAGGCAACUCCACAAAUGGUUACUCUAUCAAAUAUUGUAAUACUUUAACUCUCACAAACCUAUUAACGAUGAUUCUUAUAGAUAGAUCCAUUUUUAUUGGCCU